GUCAUACGCUCGUCUCAAAGAUUAAGCCAUGCAUGUGUAAGUAUAACUAAUUGACUUUGAAACUGCGAAUGGCUCAUUAUAUCAGUUAUAGUUUAUUUGGUGAAGGAUACUAAUUGGAUAACCGUAGUAAUUCUAGGGCUAAUACAUGAGUAAAGUCCCGUAGGAUGUGUUUAUUAGAAUGAAAACCAUAUGCUUCGGCAUGAUAGUGAGUAAUAGUAACCUAUCGUAUCGCAUGCUUAAGUAGCGAUGAGUCUUUCAAGUUUCUGCCCUAUCAGCUUUCGAUGGUAGCAUAUGGGUCUACCAUGGCAGUAACGGGUAACGAA
RNAcentral lists this ribosomal RNA (323 nucleotides) under Blastocystis sp. subtype 2. RNAcentral describes it as "SSU rRNA". It matches the Rfam family "Eukaryotic small subunit ribosomal RNA", at positions 23 to 366 of the family's 1831-position model. Lineage: Eukaryota; Bigyra; Opalinata; Blastocystidae. The record is from RNAcentral.